CCUACGGGAGGCAGCAGUGAGGAAUAUUGGUCAAUGGACGAGAGUCUGAACCAGCCAAGUAGCGUGAAGGAUGACUGCCCUAUGGGUUGUAAACUUCUUUUAUAUGGGAAUAAAACAGGGUAUGCAUACCCUCUUGUAUGUACCAUAUGAAUAAGGAUCGGCUAACUCCGUUCCAGCAGCCGCGGUAAUACGGAGGAUCCGAGCGUUAUCCGGAUUUAUUGGGUUUAAAGGGAGCGUAGGCGGAUUGUUAAGUCAGUUGUGAAAGUUUGCGGCUCAACCGUAAAAUUGCAGUUGAAACUGGCAGGCUUGAGUACAGUAGAGGUAGGCGGAAUUCGUGGUGUAGCGGUGAAAUGCUUAGAUAUCACGAAGAACUCCGAUUGCGAAGGCAGCUCACUGGACUGCAACUGACACUGAUGCUCGAAAGUGUGGGUAUCAAACAGGAUUAGAUACCCCAGUAGUC
RNAcentral lists this ribosomal RNA (460 nucleotides) under uncultured bacterium. RNAcentral describes it as "partial 16S ribosomal RNA". It matches the Rfam family "Bacterial small subunit ribosomal RNA", at positions 338 to 795 of the family's 1533-position model. The record is from RNAcentral.